GACGAACGCUGGCGGCGUGCUUAACACAUGCAGUCGAACGGAAAGGCCCUGCUUUUGUGGGGUGCUCGAGUGGCGAACGGGUGAGUAACACGUGAGUAACCUGCCCUUGACUUUGGGAUAACUUCAGGAAACCGGGGCUAAUAACGGAUAGGAGGUCCUGCUGCAUGGUGGGGGUUGGAAAGUUUCGGCGGUUGGGGAUGGACUCGCGGCUUAUCAGCUUGUUGGUGGGGUAGUGGCUUACCAAGGCUUUGACGGGUAGCCGGCCUGAGAGGGUGACCGGCCACAUUGGGACUGAGAUACGGCCCAGACCCCUACGGGAGGCAGCAGUGGGGAAUAUUGCACAAUGGGCGGAAGCCUGAUGCAGCAACGCCGCGUGCGGGAUGACGGCCUUCGGGUUGUAAACCGCUUUCGCCUGUGACGAAGCGUGAGUGACGGUAAUGGGUAAAGAAGCACCGGCUAACUACGUG
RNAcentral lists this ribosomal RNA (467 nucleotides) under uncultured bacterium. Its description in RNAcentral is "partial 16S ribosomal RNA". It matches the Rfam family "Bacterial small subunit ribosomal RNA", at positions 28 to 507 of the family's 1533-position model. The record is from RNAcentral.